Molecule: long non-coding RNA, 1527 nt
Filed under: Sus scrofa (pig)
Lineage: Eukaryota; Metazoa; Chordata; Mammalia; Artiodactyla; Suidae
Description: lncRNA (ENSSSCG00030049140.1)
Source: RNAcentral
UUUUUUUUUUUUUUUUUUUGUCUUUUGUCUUUUUAGGAACCCACCAGCGACAUAUGGAGGUUCCCAGGCUAGGGGUCAAAUCAGAGCUAUUGCUACCAGCCUAUGCCAGAGCCACAGCAAUGCCGGAUCCGAGCCACAUCUAUGACCUACACUACAGCUCAUCGCAACGGGGGAUCCUUAACCCACUGAGCGAGGUUAGGGAUCGAACCCACAGUCUCAUGGCUCCAAGUCAGAUUCGUUCCCGCUGCACCACAAUGAGAACUCCAAAAUUUUUUUAAAUCAAAGAAAGAAAUGAGGAGUUCCUAUCAUGGCUCAGUGGUUAAUUAACUUCCCAAAUUAAUUUACUUCCAACAAAAAAAAUAUGGAAAUUGAUAAGAUAAGUAUAAAAUAAGUACGGAAAUGAAAGGAUUAAGAAUAGUAAAUAUGGGAGUUCCCGUUCUGGCUCAGCAGUUAAGAAACCUGACUAGUAUCCAUGAAGAACCGGUGGGUUAAGGAUCCCGCUGUGGUGUAGGUCACAGACGCGGCUCAGAUCCCGACUUGCUGUGGCUCUGGAGUAGGGCAGGGGCUGCAGCUCCAAUUCAGCCUCUCCCUAGCCUAGGAACCUCCAUAUGCUGUGAGUGCAGCCUGAAAAAGAAAAACAAAAAAACAAAAAAAGUGAAUACAAUUCCAAAGAAGACCAAAGUUGAAUGACUUUCAUAACCAGAUACCAACUCUUAUAAAACCACAAUUCUAAGUGUGACACUAGUGACAAGACAGACAAUAAAAUAAAGAGAGAGAGACUCCAGAAACCGACCCAUCCAUCCAUACAAAGGCUUCUGAUUUAUCAGAAAAUUUGCUCAGCAGAAGAAUCAUGGUCCUUUCAAAAAAUGAUGCUUAAUCAAAGUUUUACCCCUUUCUUCACAUCAUAUACAAAUGUUAUAGAUGAAUCAGAUCUAAUUGUGACAGAUGAAAUGGUAACAGGAGAUAAUACAAGACAGCAGCUUCACUUGGGAUAGGCAAAAACUUCCUAAAUAGGACAGAGGAAGCGCUAACAAUAAUAAAAGGAAAUAUAAAUAAAUGGACUUUGUUAAAAGAUGCCUUAAAGAGUAAAAAGGAAAACCAGAGAGUGGGAGGAGAUAUUUGCAAUGUAGGCAUCCAACUGAUAUUCAGAAUUUAUAAGGAACAACUAUAAGUCUGCAAAAAAGAGGAAAACAACCCAAUAAACUGAAGGCCAAAGACUUGUCCAACCACUUAAAAGAAAUUGACCAAUUGAGUGUUAGCCAUAAGGAAAAUGAAAAAUAGAUAUAAUAAUAAAUUACCUCUAAGAAGCCAUAAAGUUGUCUGAAACUUAAAUUUUAAAGAAAAGACCAUACACGAGUUCCCGUCCUGGCGCAGAGGAAACAAAUCCAACUAGCAACCACCAGAUUGUGGGUUUGAUCCCUGGCCUUGCUCAGUGGGUUAAGGAUCCACCGUUGCCGUGAGCUGUGGUGUAGGUUGCAGACGUGGUUCAGAUCCUGCGUUGCUGUCGCUGUGGCAUAGGCCGGCGGC